UGAAAGUUAGCUUCAUGAGGAAUUCCAAGUGGAACUGAAAUAAUAAAUUACAAAUUUCAUCAUUUUUUAUAGAAUUUAGACCCUAUUGAAAUUAUUAGAUUUUCACCAUCUCUUUCCUUAAUUAGGUACCUAUUCUAAAUAAUUUCCACAGAAAAGUUGAUUUGUUAAAAAAAUAUCCUUAGGAUCAACCUUUUCUACCGGUGAAGCUGAACUUUAUUGGAUGUAGGAAGAAGAAAUUGAUGAAUCUCUCUUAAUAUCUGAUAUUUUACUUCUGUCUAAAUUAUAUACUAGUGUCUGGAUCUCUCAAGUGGAGUCUAAGGAAUGUGAUGCUGGGUUCAGUUCUGGGAGCAGCAGUCUGUUUCCGUCUUGGCUGGAUCCACUGGAAACUUGUGGAGAAAGCGAAUGAAGGGAAUAUUGCUGCUCAUUCAGGUCAAAGUGGAGAAGUGAAGAGCGGUGUGAGUGCAGCCAUUGACAGGCUUGAAGAAAACUUGAACAAAUAGAGAAUUUCUUUUUGGCACAGGUCUCCAUCAGUUUUGCAUCAAGAGACACAAGAUUAAGAGCAGAAAUUGGGCGAGCAAAAACAAUUCCAAAUCUCAAAUGUCCUGUGGCAAGCUGUCAAUGAAAGUAGGAUAUUUGUUUGCCUCGCUCCCUGGCCUUUCAACUAAUAUCGUUUUUUUCCUUAAAAUGUUGUAUUGUGUGUUGGUAUGACUAUCCUGCAACUUUAAUGGCAAUGAGGUUUUAAACCCAAUCUGUCUUGCGCAGAUGGUAUCUGCUAUAGUUUUUUAUAUGUACUUCAAAAUGCAGAACCGUAGGGCUGGUCAUAAAAUCUGUUCUAAACUCGUCUGCGUAAAGACUUAAAUAUGCUCUAAA
This is a non-coding RNA of Carica papaya (papaya), 870 nucleotides long. Lineage: Eukaryota; Viridiplantae; Streptophyta; Magnoliopsida; Brassicales; Caricaceae. The record is from RefSeq and is a predicted model, not a curated record.